Molecule: long non-coding RNA, 813 nt
Filed under: Mytilus galloprovincialis (Mediterranean mussel)
Lineage: Eukaryota; Metazoa; Mollusca; Bivalvia; Mytilida; Mytilidae
Source: RNAcentral
AAUAUAACAAGAGGCUGUCACAACGACAGCAAACCGGAUUUAUUAAUAUUUAUUUGUGUCCUGGCAAUAUCACAAGAACCAUUACUGAUGAAUGGUGAAAGUGAAAAUCGUCAAUAUCAAAUUUGACCUCCAUUUUGUCAUCAGUAUCAACAUCUUAAAAUUUGAAAAGCUUAGAUUGAAUGGUUCAUGAGUAAAUGCAACAACAUGAAUGGAAACGCCAUUUCACAAUCUUUCAAGAACCAUAACUCCUGAACAGUAAAAGUCAAAAUCGUCAUAAUUGAACUUGACUUUUAAUUUGCCAUCAGUAACAACAUAAAAAAAUUUCAAAAGCUUUGGUUGAAUGGUUCAUGAGAAAAUGCACGGACACGACUGGAAACACCAUUUUUCAAUCUUUCAAGAACCAUAACUCCUGAACGGUAAAAGUCAAAAUCGUCAUUAUUGAACUUGACCUCCAUUUUGUCAUCAGUAACAACAUAUUAAAAUUUGGGAAGCUUAGGUAGAACAGUUCAUGCGUAAAUGCACGGACACGACUGGAAACUCCAUUUUUCAAUCUUUCAAGAACCAUAACUCCUGAACAGUAAAAGUCAAAAUCGCCAUUAUUGAAUUUGACCUCCAUUUUGUCAUCAGUAACAACAUAAUUAAAAUUUGGGAAGCUUAGGUAGAACAGUUCAUGCGUAAAUGCAUGGACACGACUGUAAACUCCAUUUUUCAAUCUUUCAAGAACCAUAACUCCUGAACGGUAAAAGUCAAAAUCGCCCAUUAUUGAACUUGACCUUCAUUUAGUUGUCAGUAACAACAUAUUAAAUUUUAAAA